This 447-nucleotide ribosomal RNA is filed under the name Triticum aestivum (bread wheat). RNAcentral describes it as "partial small subunit ribosomal RNA". Lineage: Eukaryota; Viridiplantae; Streptophyta; Magnoliopsida; Poales; Poaceae. The record is from RNAcentral.
AUGCUAACCUCACUGAAGAAAUUGGAUGUAAGGAGUUCAGAUUGCCUGGUUGGACCAUUAGGAGGUGAGGGUGAUGCGGAAUGGCAGCACCCUAUGAUCCAGGAAUUACUUGUGGUCCAGGAAUCACUUGGUGGUCCUAGUGGGAAGGAACUAACGGAGCUUCUCGCUCACCUCCCAAGGCUCUCCAAGCUACUUAUUGCCAGUUGUGAAAAUAUAACACAGCUUUCAGUGAGGGUGGAUGUGCAGCAAACAACUUUAGCAGCCGCGUCGGAGGUGGAGCAGGAGAAGGAAGAAGAUGGGUUGCUGCUCUUCCCGGCCCAUCUCUGUGACUCACUCAGGGAAUUGGUCAUCAACAGAUGCCCAGAGCUGGUCAUGGUGGAAGUGGAACCCCCUUCAACUUGUCUUCCCACUGCAGGAGGAGGGUUCCAAGCCCUACAGUCCCUCUAG